Molecule: ribosomal RNA, 622 nt
Filed under: Hypsibius sp. F7889
Lineage: Eukaryota; Metazoa; Tardigrada; Eutardigrada; Parachela; Hypsibiidae
Description: eukaryotic LSU rRNA
Rfam family: Eukaryotic large subunit ribosomal RNA
Source: RNAcentral
ACGGUGGCAGGAACUGUGGCGUGAAGAAGGUGUCUAUCGGUGUGGCUUGCUCGCGUAAGUUCUCCUGAGUGAGGCUCCAUCCCAUGGAGGGUGCAAGGCCCGUGUCGUGAGCAGCCGUCACCGAUGCGCACUUUCAGAGAGUCGCCUUGUUUGCGAGUACAAGGUGAAGUCGGUGGUAAACUCCAUCGAAGGCUAAAUAUGACCACGAGUCCGAUAGCGAACAAGUACCGUGAGGGAAAAUUGAAAAGCACUUUGAAGAGAGAGCGAAACAGUGCGUGAAACCGCUCAGAGGUAAGCAGAUGGGGCCUCGAAGGCAGAGCGUCGAAUUCAGCCGGUUGUCCGUGCGGUUGGCUGGGAUUGGAGAGCGUAAGCCUCUGCCUAGUUGAUUGGUACGGCUGCCGGUGCACUUUCGACGCUUGUACGCCACCGCCGUUGAGGAGCGUCCGUCGGGCUGGCAUGUGGAGCCUUACUCUCGCAAGAGCGUAGGUGUCUCACGGCUAGUCUGUACGCGUUCGCACCUCAACCGGUCAAGUCAGCAUGUGCCAGCGUUUGCGCUGGAUCAGUCGGCUCCGGUCGGGCUGUAUGGAGAUGGCGAGCUUGCUCGACUCUUCUGCACUUGAUG